Non-coding RNA from Paramormyrops kingsleyae, 2637 nucleotides. The record is from RefSeq and is a predicted model, not a curated record. Lineage: Eukaryota; Metazoa; Chordata; Actinopteri; Osteoglossiformes; Mormyridae.
CCUGGAAGUCCCAGACACGCCAAAAGUUGAGAGGCUGGAUCCAAGAUUACAGCUGCUGGACGCUGCUCUUUUCCACGGAUGGAAACCUUUCCCAAAAGACGCGGAACUGUCCGAAAUCGAAGAUUUCGGAUGGGGCUCCGCCGUGUCAAGCCAUAACGCAAGGCGAUGCAUCGAUUGAACAGCAUCUCCUCCACAAGGUUACGUCUGCAAUAGCGGCUCCUGGAAGCCUUUCAUCGCCUCUGUUCACAGGCCAAUGGAGGUCAUGUCGUCACCCUUAUAAAUUACGGCACUACUGGGUGGAGGCUGACCUUCCCAUCUACAUAUUGAAGGAAAUGACUUUGACCCGCUCGAUAGGGUCAGCUGAGGCGGACGGCGCGAUCGCCGGCUUCGGAGAGCUGAGAGUGAGAUGCCAAGCAGGAGUGCUGCCAGACCUUAAAGUGGUGUGUUAAUUGUGUGUGGCUCCAGGGCACUGUGAGGGUACUUCCAGCCAGGAAGGCGGAGGUGGGUGGAUGAGAGGUUUGAGACGGAGAGGGGUGAAGGCGUGGAGACACCUGAAAUAAUCCCGGAAGCAGCUGCCAAUCGCUGGUAUGCCGGCCUGAUUACCCUGGCACACAUUUCCCGGUGAGGAGUGUUCCGUUUUCCUGUCUUAACCAGUCCUGUUUGCCCUGUAAACACACGCGCGCGCACGCACACACACACAUGGCUGGGGGAGGGAAGGCCUGGCCAGCGACCUUAAAGAAAAGUGGGAGAGCAGCCAUCCUGCCAGAGUUGAAAUGAACUCUUCAAAUUGGAACUCCCUGGGGAUUGAUAGCACAGCAGCUUGCUACGUGCUAUCGUGCAAAGCCCUGCAACGGCCGGCCACGUCAUCGACGAUGAGUCAAGCCUUCAAUGGGACCCCGGAACCCUAACAGAGACCCUCAAAGUCCAGCUGUGAUGACCUUUUCCCCUGGGGGAAUGGAAGUGUACCUGUCACACCGUCCCUACUGCAAUGUCGGGUACCUGUCACACCGUCCCUACUGCAAUGUCGGGUACCUGCCACACCGUCCCUACUGCAAUGCCGGGUAUGAACAUGCAGUGUCCAGGACACACAGAGGUAGUGCGAGACACUUUCAGCAAGCAGGACGGCAGAUUCCCCCCAGUCUUGAACUGUGCCUGACCUCCCCUUCAAACGCUCUUAUCUGAUCUGAAGGAAACUCCAAAGGUGGACAUCUGUUUGGAAGCCUUUGAGAGACAAAUUACAUGUGAUAAUUAUCAAUAUGGCACACUCAGAUCUUCUUCCCCGCCAGAUGUCCUGUUCCCAUCCCAAGAUGAGGAUCACACAUGUACAGAUGAGGAACCAAGCAGGACACAGGACCUGUUUGCACAUUGUUAUGGAAGACUAAGGGCCAAAGCAUAGCCCCCACCCUCACGAGUGUGACGUCGCCAUGGCGGCGCGGCUGACAGACCAAGCCCCGAAAUGCAUCUGUAUCCUGUUUGCCGACGGAUGGAAGCGGAGGCACUUAACUUUGAAAGGUCUCAUUGUUUUCUGCUGCUGCUCGGAUCCCAAACUCCUCACAUCACAGGCUCUGAGACUGUGGCGGAGGUUGAAAGCCGCGUCUCUACAGGACGCCCUGCUCACCUGCCUGAUUCAUCACUGUUUUGCUUCUACUCUGCUUGGUAAAGGAAUCGGAUGGGAAUGAAAUGAACUCUGGUAAAAAAAAAAAAAAAAAGCUUUAAUCUGCCGCAAAGGUUUUUGGCAACCUGGUAUCUGGAUGUUUGUGUAGCUGGGAGAUCACAUUCAGAGGCAUAACAUCGGUGUUUAUAUUGGGAUUUUAGCUUAAAGCGUGUUUAUGCAGCCAUACACUUAGUAACUAUUAAUAUGUAAUAUUUUCAGCAAAGCUGAAUAUCUUCAUUGACAGCUUAGCAUGGAAUACAGUAUUUAUAUGUAUGUAUUUCUAAACUAUCAUGCUUUCUAUCUUGCCUUUCAGGAUGAUUAUUUAGAUGUCCUAAGCUUUCAAAUUUGCUGCCCUGUGACCAAGAUAGGACCCAUACUUUAUUUUUAAAGUUAUUUGUAUAUCAGUCCACUGAUUGAUGUUGGUACUUUGCUGAUUUAAUGUUUCCUUUGUUAUUAGUGGUGGAUACUGAGGAUUGCGUAGUAUUUUGAUGUUCUUUGUGAAUUGCAUUAUCUACACACUAUUAUUCAGGCAGUAAUAUUUAAUUGUUUGAUCAUUCUGGCUAACUGCAGCUAAUUCUUAAUGUUUUAACUCAGUGAUUAAAGGUAUGAAAAGGCACCUGUGUUCACCGCUGCGAAGAUGUGUCUUCUGAUUGGUCGGAGGGGCCGUCAUCCUGGGAGAACAGAGCUCCUACUGACCUUACCAAUACUUUGAAGAUGUCCCCCGAAAACACAUGUCAGGUGGAGUGGAGUGGAGUGGGGGAGAUUGUGGUAUUUGCCAGGAAUCUUUGAAAACGGCACUUGUUUAUCUAAACCUUCAAAGGAUGGACACGGUAGAACCAUGUGACACUGGGGCCCUUCAAAGACCAGGGGGUUAGUGGGGGUCGGCUGUGUGGGACGGUCUCGUAUUAAACGGGACUGGCAGGCAGUGGCAUUAAAUGCUGAGCGCCCUGGGGGGGUUGGCAUUGAAAAACUCGAUAAGCAAA